Molecule: ribosomal RNA, 465 nt
Filed under: uncultured bacterium
Lineage: Bacteria
Description: bacterial SSU rRNA
Rfam family: Bacterial small subunit ribosomal RNA
Source: RNAcentral
CCUACGGGUUGCAGCAGUGGGGAAUUUUGGACAAUGGGCGAAAGCCUGAUCCAGCCAUGCCGCGUGCAGGAUGAAGGCCUUCGGGUUGUAAACUGCUUUUGUACGGAACGAAAAGGUUUGGCCUAAUAAGCUGAGCUCAUGACGGUACCGUAAGAAUAAGCACCGGCUAACUACGUGCCAGCAGCCGCGGUAAUACGUAGGGUGCGAGCGUUAAUCGGAAUUACUGGGCGUAAAGCGUGCGCAGGCGGUUAUGUAAGACAGAUGUGAAAUCCCCGGGCUCAACCUGGGAACUGCAUUAGUGACUGCAUAGCUGGAGUACGGCAGAGGGGGAUGGAAUUCCGCGUGUAGCAGUGAAAUGCGUAGAUAUGCGGAGGAACACCGAUGGCGAAGGCAAUCCCCUGGGCCUGUACUGACGCUCAUGCACGAAAGCGUGGGGAGCAAACAGGAUUAGAUACCCUAGUAGUC